RNAcentral lists this ribosomal RNA (1372 nucleotides) under uncultured bacterium. Its description in RNAcentral is "bacterial SSU rRNA". It matches the Rfam family "Bacterial small subunit ribosomal RNA", at positions 28 to 1381 of the family's 1533-position model. The record is from RNAcentral.
GAUGAACGCUGGCGGCGUGCCUAAUACAUGCAAGUCGAGCGAACGGACGAGAAGCUUGCUUCUCUGAUGUUAGCGGCGGACGGGUGAGUAACACGUGGAUAACCUACCUAUAAGACUGGGAUAACUUCGGGAAACCGGAGCCAAUACCGGAUAAUAUUUUGAACCGCAUGGUUCAAAAGUGAAAGACGGUCUUGCUGUCACUUAUAGAUGGAUCCGCGCUGCAUUAGCUAGUUGGUAAGGUAACGGCUUACCAAGGCAACGAUGCAUAGCCGACCUGAGAGGGUGAUCGGCCACACUGGAACUGAGACACGGUCCAGACUCCUACGGGAGGCAGCAGUAGGGAAUCUUCCGCAAUGGGCGAAAGCCUGACGGAGCAACGCCGCGUGAGUGAUGAAGGUCUUCGGAUCGUAAAACUCUGUUAUUAGGGAAGAACAUAUGUGUAAGUAACUGUGCACAUCUUGACGGUACCUAAUCAGAAAGCCACGGCUAACUACGUGCCAGCAGCCGCGGUAAUACGUAGGUGGCAAGCGUUAUCCGGAAUUAUUGGGCGUAAAGCGCGCGUAGGCGGUUUUUUAAGUCUGAUGUGAAAGCCCACGGCUCAACCGUGGAGGGUCAUUGGAAACUGGAAAACUUGAGUGCAGAAGAGGAAAGUGGAAUUCCAUGUGUAGCGGUGAAAUGCGCAGAGAUAUGGAGGAACACCAGUGGCGAAGGCGACUUUCUGGUCUGUAACUGACGCUGAUGUGCGAAAGCGUGGGGAUCAAACAGGAUUAGAUACCCUGGUAGUCCACGCCGUAAACGAUGAGUGCUAAGUGUUAGGGGGUUUCCGCCCCUUAGUGCUGCAGCUAACGCAUUAAGCACUCCGCCUGGGGAGUACGACCGCAAGGUUGAAACUCAAAGGAAUUGACGGGGACCCGCACAAGCGGUGGAGCAUGUGGUUUAAUUCGAAGCAACGCGAAGAACCUUACCCAAUCUUGACAUCCUUUGACAACUCUAGAGAUAGAGCCUUCCCCUUCGGGGGACAAAGUGACAGGUGGUGCAUGGUUGUCGUCAGCUCGUGUCGUGAGAUGUUGGGUUAAGUCCCGCAACGAGCGCAACCCUUAAGCUUAGUUGCCAUCAUUAAGUUGGGCACUCUAAGUUGACUGCCGGUGACAAACCGGAGGAAGGUGGGGAUGACGUCAAAUCAUCAUGCCCCUUAUGAUUUGGGCUACACACGUGCUACAAUGGACAAUACAAAGGGCAGCGAAACCGCGAGGUCAAGCAAAUCCCAUAAAGUUGUUCUCAGUUCGGAUUGUAGUCUGCAACUCGACUACAUGAAGCUGGAAUCGCUAGUAAUCGUAGAUCAGCAUGCUACGGUGAAUACGUUCCCGGGUCU